RNAcentral lists this long non-coding RNA (1118 nucleotides) under Gallus gallus (chicken). The record is from RNAcentral. Lineage: Eukaryota; Metazoa; Chordata; Aves; Galliformes; Phasianidae.
CUUCCAGAUUGGUCUGGCAGAUCGCACAGACGAAGCAAGUGUCAUGCCAGCUGAAGCCCAGUGCCUCCAGGAACCGGUCCCCAGCAUCGAUCUUGAAGUCACAGCCACGGCACUUGGUGCCAAACAUCUUCUCAUAGUCUCUCUCGCAGUAGGGCUGUCCCUCCUCCAUGUAGAAGGCACGGUUGCGGAUGGGAGUUUUGCAGGCUGCACAGGUGAAGCACUGCACGUGCCAGGUCAUCUUGAGUGCAUGCAUGACCUCCCCGGUGAUCUUCUUCUUGCAUUUAGCACAGCUGGGCGCAUAGCGCGUGUCGUAGCACUUGGGGCAGAAGAUGGAGCCCUUUUCCUCGAAGAAACCACCCUCAUCCAGCACCUUCCUGCACUGGCAGCAGGUGAACUCCUCGGGGUGGUAAUAAUGUCCCAGUGCCACGAGGUAGCGUCCCCUGAUGAUCUUGUUGCACUUGUAACAGAGGGGUGUACGGCCGGGGCCCUCAGGUGCCUGCUGGGCUGCCUGCACGAUGGAGCUGCGGUUCUGCAUGGGGGUCGGCGUGGCCGGCUGGCUGUGCUUGCUCAGCACCGUGCUCGUCUUGUCUGGGGCGUAGCGCUCAGCAAAUGAGGGGUCCACAGCCCAGGGCGGGCGGCUGGUAGGGCCAGGGGUGGCAGCAGGGGUCCUGGGGGCCAAUCCUGGUUCUGUCUUCAUUGCUGCUCCCGGGGAUGGGUCCGGUACGGAGACCUGGCCAUUGUGCUGGGGGGUGCAGGCGGGCGCCAGGGGCACGUACGUCACGGGUUUCGUCACCAGCCCAGGCCGUGGGUUCGGAGGUGAGCUGGCCCCAAAGGGCCGAGCUGUUUUGUUGAGGGCGGUGCUGGGAGCGAAGUUAUAUUUCGGGGGCUCAGAGCAGGGGAGUGAGUCCUUCUGCGGCUUCCCCAGGUGGUUCUGGGCUCUGCUCAGGGUGAGGCAGAGCCUGUCCCCGCAGGCGCGGAUCCUGUUCUGGGCCUCGAUGUGUGUCAUGGUGCCGGUGCUCUCCCCGUCGAUGUACAGCACCCAGUCGCCCACUCCCACGCCGGCCUGGGCAGCCUUUCCACCUGGAGUCAGCCUGGAGAUGGAGAGCGGCAUGCUGAAG